This 468-nucleotide ribosomal RNA is filed under the name uncultured bacterium. Its description in RNAcentral is "partial 16S ribosomal RNA". It matches the Rfam family "Bacterial small subunit ribosomal RNA", at positions 28 to 507 of the family's 1533-position model. The record is from RNAcentral.
GACGAACGCUGGCGGCGUGCUUAACACAUGCAAGUCGAACGGAAAGGCCCUGCUUUUGUGGGUUUCUCGAGUGGCGCACGCGUGAGUAACACGUGAGUAUCCUGCCCUUGACUUUGGGAUAACUUCACGAAACUGGGGCUAAUACCGCAUAUGAUCUCCUGCUGCAUGUUGGUGGUUGGAAAGUUUCGGCGGUUCGGGCUGGACUCGCGGCUUAUGAGCUUGUUUGUGGGGUAGUGGCUUACCAAGGCUGUGAAGGCUAGCCGGCCUGAGAGGUGGAACGGGGACAUGGGGACUGAGGGAGGGACCAGAAGGCUACGGGAGGCAGCAGUGGGGAGUAUUGCAGAGUGGGCGGAAGUGUGAUGCAGAAGCGUUGCGUGCGGGAUGACGGGUUUCGGGGGGAAAACAGAUUUGGAAGGUGACGAAGCGGGAGUGACGGUAAUGGGUAAAGAAGCACCGGCUAACUACGUG